UCUUUCCUUAUUUUUUAGCUGCUGGAUGGAUUGCGUUUGCUGUUGUUCUUGCGACAUCUUCGUAUCUCGAGUAAGAAUGGGAAUGAUAUGUUCAUGAUCAGUGAUAUGUACUCCCUUCGUUACAUAAUUCUUGUCUCAAAUUUGCUCAAAAAUGGAUGUAUCUAUUCUUAAAAGAUGUCUAGAUACAUGUAAGAUUUCGACAAGAAUUAUGGAACGGAGGGAGUAUUUAUUUUUCCAUGAGUAGUGACUAGUGAGUACUACAUGCACCCAUUGAUUUUAUUAGAACACAUGUAUGUGCAUAUAUUUUCAUUUUCUGAAUAACACAGGACAAUGUGUUUUUGUUCUUGAUGAAUUUUUAUUCAUCAGCAGUGAAUGGUUAUUUCUCUCGUGAGUAGUGAGUGUUACCUGUAUGAUACAUGCAUGCUGAAAAAUAACCCGGCAUUCCUUUUCAUUUAUUUCUACUCAAGCUGCAACUAAUCAGUUUCAUACUUGCAAAAUCAUAGAGGGGGAGUAGUAUUAAUUAUGUUCAAAUCAUGUACGGAGUAUAUAUCUGCAAAAUAGAUUAAAAUGAGAAAAUAGUGCAUUGGACAAAUGGGUAUUCCCAUUGGACAACAUGGAUUUUUAUCCAUCCAUAUUUGUCCACAGGCCCCCAAAAUAGACAAAUAGUAAGGACAAAUAACAACUCACCCUUAAAGAUGCCCUAAUGCCUUCGUUCCUGCAUGAUAAAUCCGCUCCCUCUGCCCAGUGCGGCGGCGCUCGUCGCCACGAAACCCUAGCUUCGUGCCAUACCUCCACCAUCCAGUCUAUGACAGCCUACGAAGCAAUGGCACCAACGCCGUGCGUUCCAGGCGAGAGCCUUCCUGGUCUGGUCCAUGGUGCUGUUGACCAAUGCCCAAGAACAGAGGCGGAGGCAACAAGGGAUCCUCCUGGUGCUUCUGUAAUCCGGAGAUUAAGACUGUAGGCAACGGCGCUGGCUCUCAUUGGAUCAAGACAGAAAACCAAUUUCCAUUUAUGGCAUUUAAUUCAGCAAAGGUAGCCAUUUGGAAGCAGCGAAUGAGGCAGUUGUUGAAUUAUUGAAGCCUAAUUCUUUUCUGCUAUUAGACAUGGUUAUGAAGUAAUCAGAAGACCGAAGUAAGGCCAGAGUCAAAUUGCUAGCUUGUACAAUAUUUAUAGAAAAGAAAGAGGCCGCAGUAGUGGUUUAGAGUUUAGGCACUUCACAGUUGUCAGGUAAAAAAUUUAGCUGGUUUUCUGUGCUUCACAAGGACUAAGAUCCUUGGCAUUUUUCGUAGUACAUACAGUGAGAAAGAUCUUACUGGAAAAUCCACAGAACUAUUUUUUCUCAACAUAUUAGGGAAAACACCUUAAUCACUAGAAAAUCAUAUGGAACUGUUUUUUUUAACAUAUUUGGAGAUUGCUGAUAGGUGAACUGAUGAUAGGUAAUACAGGUUCACUCAUUUCAUUUUUUUCUUGCUUAUCAUGCCCUUGCAUUCAUGUUUCUCUAAACUUUUGAGUUGUUAUGUCACAGAAAUAGAAAUAUGAGCUCACCACGAUGCCACGUGGCCCUCUUGACAUGUUGUGUUGUUUCAGUCAAGGAUAUGGACAUUUCAAACCCCAAUGUUUCUGAAUAUCUCCAGGCAUGUUGAUGAUCAAAGACCCUUUUGAGAAUAUAUAGUCAGUUCUUCUACGGGCUGCUCAGAUUUACAGUACUUUGAGGAACUUUAGUAUUGCUGAAAAGGCUUGGCAUCUCAUUGACCCUGAUGCUAAAUGUGUUUUCGGAACAUUGAGAAGGGUUGUUGUAAGAAAAAGCUGUUGUAUCCAACUUCGACACCCAUCUUCGGCCACUUCUGCAGACCAUGAAAUGCGACCACUGGUUUGACACAGUUGCUUUAUCUGCUGAGUUGAGUUUCCAUUUUCACAUGAGCUACUCCAGCUUAGCCUUAUACGAGUUAUAACUGACCUUGACCCUGUAGGUGACAUGGAAAAUGGGUAACAUAUGUAAAAAUGUUGAAGGACUCAUGGUGUCACGUGUGUGAUCCUUGUUGUUAAUAUUUUCGUAUUAGGGAUAUUACUGCAUUUGGUUGAUGAGCUAAUAAAAGAUAGAUCUUCCUGGUGAAUAAGGGAUCUACCUUGUUGUCUCACAUAGGUGAGUUCUCCACCCAAGCGACUCCCCGGCUGAACUUUUGCUACAAUUGUGAAACGGUGUUCUGUUCUCUCUUUGUUGGCAUAUCAUUCAGGAUGCAACAUUUAGAGUUGCAGUUGGUAUUCCUCAUUUAGAAACUUAGGAUUAUUAGAAGUGACAUAUUUUUACGUACCGAAAGAUGACACAUAUAUUUGUUGUCUUUGUGUGUAUAUGAAGGUCUGUUUCACUCA
Brachypodium distachyon (stiff brome) is the source of this 2370-nucleotide long non-coding RNA. RefSeq lists it as uncharacterized. The record is from RefSeq and is a predicted model, not a curated record. The transcript has 2 exons. Lineage: Eukaryota; Viridiplantae; Streptophyta; Magnoliopsida; Poales; Poaceae.